This 73-nucleotide transfer RNA is filed under the name Stegodyphus mimosarum. It matches the Rfam family "tRNA". Rfam says of the family: Transfer RNA (tRNA) molecules are approximately 80 nucleotides in length. Their secondary structure includes four short double-helical elements and three loops (D, anti-codon, and T loops). Lineage: Eukaryota; Metazoa; Arthropoda; Arachnida; Araneae; Eresidae. The record is from Rfam by way of RNAcentral.
GCCUUUGUGGUGUAGUGGUCAGCAUGCUGGGCGCGUAUUCCAGAGGUCCGUGGUUCGAGUCCCGGCGAAGGCG